GGACUGAAAGGUUGCACGGAGGCCCCAAGAAGCGCUCCUAUUGCAUGAAGCCACUGCAAGUUUGGAGAACAUCACCAGGAAGACCAGAGAGCCCAACACGGCGUUUGCAGUGGGAACCACAGAACACAGCCUUACUCACGUCCGCCUUUCCAGUGGAAUCACCUCAAGAAUCCUAGCUGCAAGGUCCCUAGAUCCUCUACAGAGAAGAAAGAGCAUGUUUGGCUUCUGAGAGAGUACAGGAUCCUUCACAGUCCCACCAGCUGAGUCAAUUGUGCAUGCCUGCAGCCUAGGCAUCUAUACAUCAAAACCUUGGAGUCCUGGCAUCUCACCCAGAUCCGGGGGCUGAUGGUCACACCCUGGGCAGAGCACUAUCAUUUAAUAGGGUCCUCCUAAGAGGAAGACAAGAAAGUCAAAGAUAGAGCAAGGAGAUGCAAUAAAGGAAGCAGAGAUUAGAGUAAUACAGUCUCCUCUUGAGCCUCCAGAAGGAAUGUAAUACCAGUUACACCUUGAUUUUAGCCUGGGCACGAGUCCUGAGACACACUGUGGCUAGGCCUGGAAGUCCAUGCUGGUGCCUAGAAGCAUAUGGGAUCUCUGUAAGGAUAGGAGAGUCUCCAGAAUCUGAAGAAGCGGAAUGAUGGAAGAGGGGAAACAUGCCACCUUGUGACAUUUCUAGAAAGAAUGGCCUGG
Long non-coding RNA from Talpa occidentalis (Iberian mole), 687 nucleotides. RefSeq lists it as uncharacterized. Lineage: Eukaryota; Metazoa; Chordata; Mammalia; Eulipotyphla; Talpidae. The transcript has 6 exons. The record is from RefSeq and is a predicted model, not a curated record.